CGGAGUCAGGCGCAGCCCUGGUCCCGCACCCCGACCGUCCGCCGCGCUCGCCCGGGACCCUCCGCUGACCCUGUGGUCCCCAGCCUGUGCGGAGCCGGCCACCCGGCUCCCGGCCUCCAGCAGUCUCCCCCGCGGGGGUGGGGGAGCUUCAGAUAUUAUGCAAAAGAAACAAAACCCUCAAACACCACUGUCAGUGAAACUAGAAGAUAGUUGUGACUUGAAGAUGAACAGAAAAUGUUAGAGCCAGAGGAACAAUUACGUUGUUACAGUAACAGCCACUUGUCUUGCAAGACUAAGAAAGGAGUAACGGAUGAAAGAGGCCCAGACCAGAGAGAGGAGCAGCCUGCCAACCGAAAUCACAGCAUCAGUGCUUCGAGCAAGAGAAACAGACCUCUUGUGGCCAUGAGAGAAAUCAGCCUCAGGACAAACCUGAACCAUGGUGGCAGAGUGGCAAGAUGGAAAAACCAUCGUGCCUGAAGAAAUACUGGAGUCACCGAAUUAAGUUGAACUAAACAACCCUGAAUCCCACCUCCCUCAGGAUUUCUUUCUUUCUUUUUUUUUUUAUUAAGGUAUUAGAUGUGUACAUAUCUUACCAUUGCCCCACCCCACCCCACUCCCAUAUAUGCCCUCACCCCCCAGAGUUUUGCGUCCAUUGGUUAUGCUUAUAUGCAUGCAUGCAAGUCCUUUGAUUGAUCUCUUAUCUUCCCCACCUCUCCCUAACCUUCCUGCUGUAAUUUGACAGACUGUUUGAUGCUUUACU
This is a long non-coding RNA of Eptesicus fuscus (big brown bat), 760 nucleotides long. RefSeq lists it as uncharacterized. Lineage: Eukaryota; Metazoa; Chordata; Mammalia; Chiroptera; Vespertilionidae. The record is from RefSeq and is a predicted model, not a curated record. The transcript has 4 exons.